UACAGAGGAUGCAAGCGUUAUCCGGAAUGAUUGGGCGUAAAGCGUCUGUAGGUGGCUUUUUAAGUCCGCCGUCAAAUCCCAGGGCUCAACUCUGGACAGGCGGUGGAAACUACCAAGCUGGAGUACGGUAGGGGCAGAGGGAAUUUCCGGUGGAGCGGUGAAAUGCGUAGAGAUCGGAAAGAACACCUGUGGCGAAAGCGGCUCACUGGACCAUAACUGACGCUGAGGCGCGAAAGCUAGGGGAGCAAACAGG
RNAcentral lists this ribosomal RNA (253 nucleotides) under uncultured bacterium. RNAcentral's name for it is "partial 16S ribosomal RNA". It matches the Rfam family "Bacterial small subunit ribosomal RNA", at positions 524 to 776 of the family's 1533-position model. The record is from RNAcentral.